RNAcentral lists this ribosomal RNA (497 nucleotides) under uncultured bacterium. RNAcentral describes it as "partial 16S ribosomal RNA". It matches the Rfam family "Bacterial small subunit ribosomal RNA", at positions 28 to 507 of the family's 1533-position model. The record is from RNAcentral.
GAUGAACGCUGGCGGCGUGCCUAAUACAUGCAAGUCGAGCGAACGGACGAGAAGCUUGCUUCUCUGAUGUUAGCGGCGGACGGGUGAGUAACACGUGGAUAACCUACCUAUUAGACUGGGAUAACUUCGGGAAACCGGAGCUAAUACCGGAUAAUAUUUUGAACCGCAUGGUUCAAAAGUGAAAGACGGUCUUGCUGUCACUUAUAGAUGGAUCCGCGCUGCAUUAGCUAGUUGGUAAGGUAACGGCUUACCAAGGCAACGAUGCAUAGCCGACCUGAGAGGGUGAUCGGCCACACUGGAACUGAGACACGGUCCAGACUCCUACGGGAGGCAGCAGUAGGGAAUCUUCCGCAAUGGGCGAAAGCCUGACGGAGCAACGCCGCGUGAGUGAUGAAGGUCUUCGGAUCGUAAAACUCUGUUAUUAGGGAAGAACAUAUGUGUAAGUAACUGUGCACAUCUUGACGGUACCUAAUCAGAAAGCCACGGCUAACUACGUG